RNA transcript from Aethalodelphis obliquidens (Pacific white-sided dolphin), 2848 nucleotides. It is a transcript of the gene named O-sialoglycoprotein endopeptidase, with no coding region annotated. The transcript is spliced from 13 exons. The record is from RefSeq and is a predicted model, not a curated record. Lineage: Eukaryota; Metazoa; Chordata; Mammalia; Artiodactyla; Delphinidae.
GUCGCAGCCUGGCUCCUCCUUAACCCAGCACAAAGAAUGGAGCACGAUGUGCCCCCACGUGGGUGACUGGCGUGGUCACGUGAUCUGAGAUGCGCCUCCAGUGGCGGAGGAAUGCGGGUGAUUGGUCUGUUUGUACCACGUGACCGAAAGCUCAGCCGUCCCAGCCUUCUCCGUGACUCCGGGGCACUGAAGGCCCCAAUCCUCCAUUCUUGGGCUGUUCAUCGCUAUGCCAGAAUCACGACUCCUUCUGCCACCUUGACCGGAGAUCCCAGAGCUGUCUAAGAGAGAACAAAAUCAGUGGAGAAGGCUGGGCUGGACCAUGGGAGAGAGGCAGAGGAACGGAUAGGAAUUUAAGGAGCAGAUGCCGACUCAGUGUUCCUGGCAGUUAAGAGAACAGGUCCUCGAAGGGGCCUUGAUGGGUCGCCGUGACGACAGGGGUUGGAGCUGGCGCCGGCGCGCUACCAGCGGGAAUUCUUUGGUAUCUGUUCUGGUGCGUGCUGCUCCUUAGCAGUCACCGACUCGUUUUCUUCAGCGACCCAGAGUCUGCGUCCCAGCACGGACUGGUGCGGCCUUCACGGCCCCAGUGGUAGCUAGGAGCCAUGCCGGCGGUUUUGGGUUUUGAAGGCAGCGCCAACAAGAUUGGCGUGGGAGUAGUACGGGAUGGCGUGGUGCUGGCGAAUCCGCGGCGGACUUACGUCACGCCUCCAGGCACAGGAUUCCUUCCAGGUGCUACUGCCAGGCACCACCGAGCUGUUAUCCUGGACCUCCUGCAGGAGGCACUAACAGAGGCUGGAUUAACCUCCAAGGAUAUUGAUUGCAUUGCAUACACCAAAGGUCCUGGCAUGGGUGCCCCACUGGUUUCUGUGGCUGUCGUAGCCCGUACUAUGGCUCAGUUGUGGAAUAAGCCAUUGCUGGGCGUUAACCACUGCAUAGCCCACAUUGAGAUGGGCCGCCUCAUCACUGGAGCCACCAGCCCAACUGUGCUAUAUGUCAGUGGAGGAAAUACACAGGUGAUUGCGUAUUCAGAACAUCGUUACCGCAUCUUUGGGGAAACCAUCGAUAUUGCUGUGGGUAAUUGUCUGGAUCGUUUUGCUCGAGUGCUGAAGAUUUCCAAUGACCCAAGUCCAGGCUACAACAUUGAACAGAUGGCAAAGCGAGGCAAGAAGCUAGUUGAGCUGCCAUACACUGUAAAGGGGAUGGACGUCUCAUUCUCAGGGAUCUUGUCUUUCAUUGAGGAUGUAACCCAGCGGAUGCUGGCCACGGGCGAGUGUACUCCUGAGGAUCUGUGUUUCUCCCUGCAGGAAACUGUGUUUGCAAUGCUGGUAGAGAUCACAGAGCGAGCCAUGGCACAUUGUGGCUCCCAGGAGGCCCUCAUCGUGGGAGGUGUGGGGUGUAAUAUGAGGUUACAGGAAAUGAUGGAGACGAUGUGCCAGGAGCGUGGAGCCCGGCUUUUUGCCACAGAUGAGAGAUUCUGCAUUGACAAUGGAGCCAUGAUAGCCCAGGCUGGCUGGGAGAUGUUUCGGGCUGGACACAGGACUCCUCUCAGUGAAUCUGGGGUCACACAGAGGUAUCGGACAGAUGAAGUAGAAGUGACCUGGAGGGACUGACAAGGUCCUGCUCAGGGAUGUAGCCUGAGGGAGCAGGAGUGUUGAGAGAGGUAGAUGCCAAGUUCUCCUUUGGUGGUGGCUUCUGCACCUGCUGUAAGACCACCAAGUCUUCAAAAGCCUUUUGGCUACAGAGAAAGGAAACCCCAGAUACAGAAGGGAACAGAAACCCCUCAGAGAAGCAGAAACCAGGGUUCCAGGUCAUUCUGCACUGAAGGCAGGAGUGGAGGGCCUUACCAGCUGUGGCAGAGAUGCCCAGGUAGGAAAGUAUGGUCCACGUGAUGGCAAGGAUGGUUCCUUUGGGGGACAGCUGCAGCAGGGUCCUGGGAACAGAAGUUGAACCAUCAGUGGAGAGGGAAGAGGGGUGAUAGAGUGCUCCAAGCCUGGACAUCCGUGUCACCUUGAGGUCCCUAGAGAUACUGGUCCUGGUGAGUACCCCAGUGGCUGAGGAGAAGAAGAUGGAAAACAUACCAAGGAAACUGCCCUCUGGACCGUGCCCACCACUGCGGGACAAUAUUAUGGAAGAAAAUGCUUUCUACAGAAAGGAACAGAGAGAAAAGAUGAGGUUUUGAGGAGCACCUCCUGCCUUCCUCUGUUCAGCCCAAAUUAUUACCCCUCUACCCAGUUUAGUGUCAGUGACUUAGGUUAGGCUGGGAAGCAUAAGGGAUUUUUGGCCCAGGGACUUAACAGGGCUCUGAGUGAUCUGAUGGCCAACUUGUGAUUGACAUACAGAAUCAGAAGUUGAGGGUUCUUUUCUGAGGAGGACAGAUUUCUCAGUCAGUUUCCCACUGUCUCACCUUGGUACCCAAAGAAGCCAGUGGCUUGUUGGCUGGGGUUUGUGGGGAGGAAGUCCCCAGCAGGUAGUUGGUAAGAGAAAGGAAGAUCAGGAAGAAGAAGAUAAUCUGGGCCUGUAAUACCUUGGGUGAUGCCACCCCCCUCCACAGAGAGAGGGAGAAAGAGGGAGGGAAGAAGGGACAGAGACAGAGAGGUGAGUGGAAGGGAGGUAGUUCUCCUCCUCACUUUCCUUGUCUCAUCUUCACUCUUCUCUCCAGUCCUCUCGUUCUGUUUCCUACCAACCUCCUCCCAUAAAGGAAUGUGGCUAAAUGGGUGUCCUUUUCCUUCUUGCCUCAAACUACAAAGCAUCCCUUCCCAUGCCAGAGGGGUGAAUAUCAAUGUUGUAAAUACUGGGAGCAAGAAGCAGGGCAUUUCUCAUCUGGUAGUCAUGUCUAGUGCUCAUCCCAACA